RNAcentral lists this ribosomal RNA (274 nucleotides) under uncultured bacterium. RNAcentral's name for it is "partial 16S ribosomal RNA". It matches the Rfam family "Bacterial small subunit ribosomal RNA", at positions 523 to 796 of the family's 1533-position model. The record is from RNAcentral.
AUACGUAGGAGGCGAGCGUUGUCCGGAUUUACUGGGCGUAAAGGGCGAGUAGGCGGCCCGGCAAGUCUCAUGUGAAAUCUUCCGGCUCAACUGGAAGGGGUCAUGGGAAACUGCCAGGCUUGAGGGCAGCAGAGGAAAGUGGAAUUCCCGGAGUAGUGGUGAAAUGCGUAGAUACCGGGAGGAACACCAGUGGCGGAGGCGGCUUUCUGGGCUGUUCCUGACGCUGAGGCGCGAAAGCAUGGGGAGCAAACCGGAUUAGAAACCCGAGUAGUCC